GCCUCAAGAGACCCUCCCACCUAAGCCUCUCAGAGUGCUGGGAUUACAGGUGUGAGCCACUGCACCUGGCCAACUUCUCCCUUCUCUUGAAUCCUUGCUGCCUCACGACAGGUGUCAGAGCGGCACCACCACACCGCAAAGUGAAGAGAUGAUGCCGUGCCUGGGAGGGUGGCUGGAGAGUCCCCCAUCACUGCUAGUAUGGGAACGGUGAUGGUAUGCAGAGAGGAGGUGUGGUUAGAAGGGCCAUCAGAAAAGAGGAGGGAAGAGCUGGAGCUGUGAAGAAAGAUGAGAUCACUGAGAGCUGCUGAGUCCCAAAGAAUCAAAACGAAGCCCUGCUCUGAGGCUUGUGGGUGAGCCUGGUGACCUUCCUUUCUUUUGAACUGUCUUCAUGUCUUCUCAUUUUUACGUAGUUGUGGCUACUCUUUGGGGAAAGUGUGGCUGCUUUUCUCUGUCUGCACAGAAGCAAUGCAAGGUUAUAGACUCCGGAACAUGAGAGCCAGAAGGAGCCACGAGAAGGGUAGGGGAAACGUCUGUUUUACAGAGGAGGACCCAAAUCUUAGGCAGCUUGCUGAGGCCACAGAGCUCACAGGGGAAUUUAGUUUGUUGACUUCCAGCUUGGAAUUCUUUGUCACACAAGUGUUGGGGCUCAUAAAAUAAUGCCCAAAAUGUGGCACUUGACGAGCUGAACUAAAGCAGCAGCUUCAAGGUUUCUCUCUGGCUUUCCCCCGCCAUCGUGUGUCUGUGACCCUUUCUUUUCUUUUCUUUUUUUUUUUUUUUUGACCCUUUUCUAAAGCACCAGGAGCAUGCUGUCUCUCUGACCUUUUUCUUUUCUUUUCAACCCUUUCUUUUCUAAAGCACCAGGAGGACCUCUUUCUCUGGAAGUUCCCUUACCUGAUUAAGAACACUUCUAAAAUAAAUGCAGCCGUCUUAAAGCCCCCUCCCUAUGAAUCUCAUUAAAUAACCAGGAAUGAUUAAUCACCCAAGAAAAGACUGAAAAAGAAGCUACAGCCAGGAUACCAUACCCAGACAGACUUUUCGUCUUUUCUUCUGAGGGAGGUUCCAAGAGAUAACCUGGGAGACUGUAUCUGCAUAAUAAGACAACCUUAGUUCACAGUGCAGUACCACCCCUCACCUUCCAUGACUUGUCCACAAGCUAUUGUUUGUCCUUCAGUCCCAUUCAGCAUCCAAAGAGAACCAUUUGCAAACCACUGUCAGGUAUUUGGGUCCAUUCAUUUACAGCCCCCCAGCUCCCUUUCCCUAGUGAAGAGAGUAUUUAAGUGCCAACCAUUGGGCCUUUCUGUGUAUGUUCAUAUUUUUUAUAUGGCUUCCCUGCUUCAUGCAUGUUAAUAAAUUUGUUAUGAUUUUCUCUUGUUAA
This 1375-nucleotide long non-coding RNA is filed under the name Homo sapiens (human). Its description in RNAcentral is "HSALNT0345684". The record is from RNAcentral. Lineage: Eukaryota; Metazoa; Chordata; Mammalia; Primates; Hominidae.